GACGAACGCUGGCGGCGUGCUUAACACAUGCCAGUCGAACGGAAAGGCCCUGCUUUUGUGGGGUGCUCGAGUGGCGAACGGGUGAGUAACACGUGAGUAACCUGCCCUUGACUUUGGGAUAACUUCAGGAAACUGGGGCUAAUACCGGAUAGGAGCUCCUGCUGCAUGGUGGGGGUUGGAAAGUUUCGGCGGUUGGGGAUGGACUCGCGGCUUAUCAGCUUGUUGGUGGGGUAGUGGCUUACCAAGGCUUUGACGGGUAGCCGGCCUGAGAGGGUGACCGGCGAAAUUGGGACUGAGAUACGGCCCAGACUCCUACGGGAGGCAGCAGUGGGGAAUAUUGCACAAUGGGCGGAAGCCUGAUGCAGCAACGCCGCGUGCGGGAUGACGGCCUUCGGGUUGUAAACCGCUUUCGCCUGUGACGAAGCGUGAGUGACGGUAAUGGGUAAAGAAGCACCGGCUAACUACGUG
This 468-nucleotide ribosomal RNA is filed under the name uncultured bacterium. RNAcentral's name for it is "partial 16S ribosomal RNA". It matches the Rfam family "Bacterial small subunit ribosomal RNA", at positions 28 to 507 of the family's 1533-position model. The record is from RNAcentral.